Molecule: long non-coding RNA, 1533 nt
Filed under: Anser brachyrhynchus (Pink-footed goose)
Lineage: Eukaryota; Metazoa; Chordata; Aves; Anseriformes; Anatidae
Description: lncRNA (ENSABRG00000004263.1)
Source: RNAcentral
CUUCUCUAGAUUGCUAGUAAUAGGCAAUAAAUUUUAUUAAGCCCCCUGCUCUGAGUCUUUUUUGCCCAUCACAAUAAUUGUUGAGCAAUUUCCCUGUCCUUAUCUCAACCCUUGAGCCCUUUGUGUUGCAUUUUCUCCCCCCCAUAAUUUUCUCAUCUUCUUACUUUUUUUUUUUUUUUUUUUUUUUUUUUUUUUUGAGGAGGAGGAGGAGGAAGAGGAGGAGGAGGAGGAGUGGGAGGAGGAGGAAGAGAAUGGUUGUGGUGGAGCUUGGCUGCCCACAUGGGAAUGAGUUAUGGUAUGAGGUAUGAGAUAUGCAAGUAUCUCUUGAAGAGUGAAACAAACGAAAAUCAAUUUCAGUUAAGAAGCGUUGGACUUGAUGCUGCAAAACUUAUCCUCCAAAAUCAGUGAGCGUUUAGAACUCCAUGCAUAAGAGUCAUUAACACCAUUUCCAAAACAAAUAAUGAUGCACAUACAUCAUAGUUCCUUACCUGUAGCACACCAGUAUGGCAGGGUGCGGGUGUUGUAAUUAACAGGCAUUAUUAAAGCCAGCCUAAGAGGUAGUACACUCUACUACCACCCAGGACUGACCAUCCAACAAAUUCCAGAGACCUGAGUUCUAGCCUGAACUGUCCUGCUGAUCUGUCAGCCUGACUGACUCACUUCAUCCUAUUGUCGUCUUCCUAGUCUUCAUUUCUUCAAACUGUGAAUGUUAUGGCGGGAAAAGGCUAGGAAAAAUUCACCCAAUUUAUGGAUUGAUGAUGGUCAUAUACUUUCUCUGGGAAUGGGCAGGGAGCGGGCUAUAAACAACAACAACAAAAAAUUCUGAUAGCAGCAGUCUUCUCUCUGGCCAUACUGAAAUGAUGUAGUCUUUAACCUGGCAAGUGACAGGGACACCUCUGGGCACGCAAGGGGUACAGGAUAUGAAGCAUGGCCAUGAGGGCAACUAGAAGUAAGGUCCACCUGGUUGCUGCUCUGCUGAUCAUGGACCUCUUAUUCUGUGCCUCAUUUCUGUACUCCUGCAAUACAAAUAGAUGGUGAUUUAUCAACAAAAGAUCUGUCAAAUGUUGAACCCUCCCCAUAGGCAAUGUUUUACUUCAGCCUCAGUAACCUUAAAAUUAUUGCUGUGAAAUACAUGGCCCAGGAAUACCUGUGCCUUCAAUUACAUUUGUGUGUAGUGCCUGAGCUGAAUUCUGCAUUCAACCAGUAAUAGAAAUCACUACUUAUUCAUGUAUCACUUCUUACACACGAACGAAUUUCUGAUGCAAGAGUAAAGUGAAAAGAAAGAUAUCCUUGAAGACAAAUUCAACAGUUCAGAGCUUGCCUUUCUAAAAGUAAACAUAAAGCAAGGAACAGACUAUUUAGGCUUAGCACAAAGGGCCAGUUUAGCUCCAAGAAGCCAGUAGUCCAACAUAUCUUCAGUACAACUGAUAAGGAAAAUAGAAUUUCCAUUCACGGGAAAUCUCAGCAUUUAAAAAAUAAUACACAAUUUAAAGUGCUGAAAAAAAAAUAAAAGAAAAACUUCUGUAUUUUUCA